Leopardus geoffroyi (Geoffroy's cat) is the source of this 1480-nucleotide long non-coding RNA. RefSeq lists it as uncharacterized. The record is from RefSeq and is a predicted model, not a curated record. The transcript is spliced from 2 exons. Lineage: Eukaryota; Metazoa; Chordata; Mammalia; Carnivora; Felidae.
UUGAAAACCAUCUAGCACAGCGCGUGGCACACGGAAAGUGUCCAACUGACAUUAGGUGCCAUGACUCAGAAAACGUGGGGGUAGGGGCGGGCCAGGCCGGGGCCGGGGGAAGCCGGGCGCGCACAGGGGCCCAGCCCGCGGGAGCCGAACAGGAGCCGGGAGUCUGCUCCCGGCCUUGGCACCGCGGUGGACUUGCUCUGUGUUCGCCUUGCCAAGGCCGGAGCAGCUGGCUCCGGCCUGCCGAUGACGCAGCCCGCCCGCCGUGCCCGCCGCCCGCUGGCUGGGCCGCCCUUGCCCACCGGGAGCCAGGCCGGCAGCCCACAAGGUGGGCGCCCUGUGCGCCUGGGGGGCGGAGGGGGGACCUCGGCCCCGAUCCGGAGAUGCCCCCCCAGCUCCGCGCAGGCAGCGCUCUCUGGCUCGCGGCCAGCGGGCACCACCUUCGCCAGAGCAAGCGGGUGUCUCUCCACCCCUCCCGCCGGAGCUGAGCGUGGAAGCGAUUGCACUUAGCAGCCUCGCAGCAGGCAUCGGGGUGUCGAACCUCUGUAGGGUCCCUCCUCUGCCUUUGAGAUGCGCCAGGCAUUGCCCCAGGAAGCCGAAGUCCAGGGAAGCGAUCUUCCUCCAGAGCAUCUUAAAAAUGGUACUGACAAUGGGUACGGGAUGAUGAGAAAUCUCUGGAAAAAGACGGGUCGGCACAACAGCGUGAACGUACUUAAUACCGCCAGACUACACCCUGUAUUUAAAAAGACGUAUAUGUUUUUUGUUACUGUUUACUUAUCUUUGAGAGAAAGAGACAGAGCACGAACAGAGGAAGGGCAGAGAGAGAGGGAGACGCAGAAUCCGAAGCAGGCUUCAGGCUCUGAGCUGUCGGCACAGAGCCCAGCAUGGGGCUCGAACCCACAAACCUGAGCCGAAGUCGGAUGCUUCACCGACGGAGCCACCCAGGCGCCCCUAGACUAUACCCUUUAAGCGGCUACAGUGGUAACUUUUACAUCGUGUUUAUUUUAUACACAAAGAAAAAAAGACACUAAAAAAAAUGGUGCUGGUCCCAUGUGGCAUUAUCAAGUCCAAGAGCCUGAAGAAUUUAUACUUUGCGAUGACGGUAGGACUGCACACGUUUUUCUGCGUUUCUCCGAGACAGAGAGAGAGAACAGGUGGCAACAGCUCUGAUUCCUGCCUGGUCAACAAACCAACUUCUCCUUCGUACGGGGACGCGGAAAACCAUCAAAAUCAACCCGGUAACGCCACCCACGGAAAUGUUUCACAAGCGUGCUUCUGGGACAGACAGGACACGGUUUGAAAAUUUUUAGCUUCCUCUGCAAUCAAAAUAGAGCGAGGAGAAGCGGUCACUGUAUGAAUGGGGCCCUGCGGCCAGGGGACCCAGACUUCUGCAGGGGAAGGGAAGGCGGGCUGGGCCCGAGGGGCCGCCCCCAGGACAGAUGGAGACCAGUGAGACAGAAAAUAAAUAAACAGAAGCUUCCCA